GGAGUUGUGGCUCAGCAGGAGAGCGCUCGCCUAGCAUGUGUGAGGCACUGGGUUCAAUCCUCAGCACCA
RNAcentral lists this transfer RNA (69 nucleotides) under Urocitellus parryii (Arctic ground squirrel). Its description in RNAcentral is "Spermophilus parryii (Arctic ground squirrel) tRNA". It matches the Rfam family "tRNA". From Rfam's summary of the family: Transfer RNA (tRNA) molecules are approximately 80 nucleotides in length. RNAcentral also lists the same sequence under 1 other name. The record is from Rfam by way of RNAcentral. Lineage: Eukaryota; Metazoa; Chordata; Mammalia; Rodentia; Sciuridae.